GGAGAGGUCGCAUAGUGGUCUAGUGCGCACGCUUGGAAAGCGUGUAUCCCUUUACCGGGAUCGAGGGUUCGAAUCCCUCCCUCUCCGCCA
RNAcentral lists this transfer RNA (90 nucleotides) under Patescibacteria group bacterium. Its description in RNAcentral is "tRNA-Ser". It matches the Rfam family "tRNA". Rfam says of the family: Transfer RNA (tRNA) molecules are approximately 80 nucleotides in length. The record is from RNAcentral.